AAGCUUCACCCAUAAAAGCUUCACCAACAAAAGCUUCACCCACAAAAGCUUCACCUACUACAAAAGCUUCACUUACAAAAGCUUCACCCACCACAAAAGGUUCACCUACAAAAGCUUCACCCACAAAAGCUUCAACACAAAAGCUUCACCUACAAAAGCUUCACCUACAAAAGCUUCACACUAUCUUGAUCAAGAUAGUGUGAAGCAAAAUCAAUUCAUGGUACCCAAUAAAGACUCAACCUUAAAGCUUCACCUACAAAGCUUCAACACCAAAACUUCACCUACAAAGCUUAAAUAUAUAUAU
This 304-nucleotide long non-coding RNA is filed under the name Malus domestica (apple). Its description in RNAcentral is "long non-coding RNA (MDOM_LNC007444)". The record is from RNAcentral. Lineage: Eukaryota; Viridiplantae; Streptophyta; Magnoliopsida; Rosales; Rosaceae.